Long non-coding RNA from Ipomoea nil (Japanese morning glory), 337 nucleotides. RefSeq lists it as uncharacterized. The transcript has 4 exons. NCBI's taxonomy places the organism in Eukaryota, Viridiplantae, Streptophyta, Magnoliopsida, Solanales, Convolvulaceae. The record is from RefSeq and is a predicted model, not a curated record.
AAAUUAAUUAUAGGAUAUAGCCAACUGACCCGCUCAAACCAAGGGGGCAAAGGAUUCAAACUCUUGACCUUGUGGUUACAAGUGUGGAUCUCUUGCCAUCUUGGUUGGGGUUACCCCGUUUCAAUGACUAUUUUAACUAUAAUAAUGCAAGCCAGACUUUGAAGUAAACAAAUUUGUAUAUUUUAACUAUAAUGCAUAAGUUUCUAUGACCUCACUGGCAUUGCUAAACCCUAUCACAAGUUACCCACGCUCCCAAGUUUGAAACUUGGCCAGUUUCAAGAUUCAGAAAAGUGAAGGGAAAAACGUAAAAUUGGUUGAGAGAGUAAAUGUGGGUGUA